This 716-nucleotide long non-coding RNA is filed under the name Monodelphis domestica (gray short-tailed opossum). RNAcentral's name for it is "lncRNA (ENSMODG00000037592.1)". Lineage: Eukaryota; Metazoa; Chordata; Mammalia; Didelphimorphia; Didelphidae. The record is from RNAcentral.
CCUCUUCAGAACUCAUUUCUCUCCAGAAGCCAGGAAAGGAAAGCUAGCUACUCACUCAACCAAGAAACAAUACAAGAUUCAAGCUGGAGAGGACUAUAGCCUGAAGAAGUUUGGUACUUUUUAUAGUCACUUCUUGUUCCUUCCCCUCUUCACAGGGGCCAAGCACUGUUUACAAAUUGCUUAGCACUGCCCAUGGGGGCAGUGUCUAUGGGAUCCACUUCUCACUCUUCGAAAAUGUCAACUCUUAUCAAUGGAUUCACAAGUUUCUGAUUGAUUGGUUUAAAGGAUGGAGCUCUCCAAGUACAUGACUUAUGAAUUCUCUUAUUUAUUCAAGUACAUGUUGUUUUCCCCACUCUUUGGACAACAUGAAUCAUGGAAGACAGACCAGAAAUGACACAGGGGAUGUCUCAGAUGAGGAAACUGGGGUCCAGAGCAGUUUAUUCAAGGUGACACAAAGAAAUAGCAGAAGAGCAAGGAAACUUCUGAUACAAUUGGCAUGUUAACUGAUAAGAAGGAUUUGGAUCCUGUCCCUUUUCCCAGCUCACUGACCUAAGACUGAGGAAUUUCCCCUUUCGGUGAGAUUUGAGACUCUCUUGGUUGAGUUGAGUUAUCUUGUUUUCAAGGGAGAGAAUCCCUUGGAUUAGUAAUAUUCAGUAUAUAUUCUCAUUUGUAUACUUUCUCUGAUUUCUGUUUUGCUAUUGACUUGGAUAAAUGGG